CACGUAGGCGGAUCGGAAAGUUGGGGGUGAAAUCCCGGGGCUCAACCCCGGAACGGCCUCCAAAACUAUCGGUCUAGAGUUCGAGAGAGGUGAGUGGGAUUCCGAGUGUAGAGGUGAAAUUCGUAGAUAUUCGGAGGAACACCAGUGGCGAAGGCGGCUCACUGGCUCGAUACUGACGCUGAGGUGCGAAAGUGUGGGGAGCAAACA
RNAcentral lists this ribosomal RNA (207 nucleotides) under uncultured bacterium. Its description in RNAcentral is "partial 16S ribosomal RNA". It matches the Rfam family "Bacterial small subunit ribosomal RNA", at positions 568 to 774 of the family's 1533-position model. The record is from RNAcentral.